RNAcentral lists this unclassified non-coding RNA (279 nucleotides) under plant metagenome. RNAcentral describes it as "partial contains small subunit ribosomal RNA, internal transcribed spacer 1, and 5.8S ribosomal RNA". The record is from RNAcentral.
UUUCCGUAGGUGAACCUGCGGAAGGAUCAUUAACGAUUAAUGGUCUAUCUGGCUCGUCAUCCCACCCUUUGCUUAAUUACCAUGUUGCUUUGACGUGCUUGAUUCAGAACCACCAGACGUCCUCGGUUAUUUUGUCCGUCCUUGCCUGUAACAUACUACGAACACUUAAUUCAUUAUACUACUUUCGAAAUCGAAUCAAUAGUUAAACCUUUCAACAACGAAUCCCUUAGUUCUGGAAUCGAUGCAUAUCGACGCAGAUCACAAGAUCACACGUCUUAA